This 69-nucleotide transfer RNA is filed under the name Arthonia rubella. RNAcentral describes it as "tRNA-Cys". Lineage: Eukaryota; Fungi; Ascomycota; Arthoniomycetes; Arthoniales; Arthoniaceae. The record is from RNAcentral.
AGAUGUGUAGUGGAUGGUCCAUAUUUUGAUUGCAGAUCUUAAAUUUGAAGUUCGAUUCUUCCGCAUCUC